UACGUAGGGUGCAAGCGUUAAUCGGAAUUACUGGGCGUAAAGCGUGCGCAGGCGGUUAUGUAAGACAGGUGUGAAAUCCCCGGGCUCAACCUGGGAACUGCAUCUGUGACUGCAUAGCUAGAGUACGGUAGAGGGGGAUGGAAUUCCGCGUGUAGCAGCGAAAUGCGUAGAUAUGCGGAGGAACACCGAUGGCGAAGGCAAUCCCCUGGACCUGUACUGACGCUCAUGCACGAAAGCGUGGGGAGCAAACAGG
This 253-nucleotide ribosomal RNA is filed under the name uncultured bacterium. Its description in RNAcentral is "partial 16S ribosomal RNA". It matches the Rfam family "Bacterial small subunit ribosomal RNA", at positions 524 to 776 of the family's 1533-position model. The record is from RNAcentral.